RNAcentral lists this ribosomal RNA (493 nucleotides) under uncultured bacterium. Its description in RNAcentral is "partial 16S ribosomal RNA". It matches the Rfam family "Bacterial small subunit ribosomal RNA", at positions 28 to 506 of the family's 1533-position model. The record is from RNAcentral.
GACGAACGCUGGCGGCGUGCUUAACACAUGCAAGUCGAACGGUGAAGCGCCUUCCUUUUUGGUGGGUGUGGAUGAGUGGCGAACGGGUGAGUAACACGUGAGUAACCUGCCCCCUUCUUCUGGAUAACCGCAUGAAAGUGUGGCUAAUACGGGAUAUUCUGGGUCUGUCGCAUGAUGGGUCUGGGAAAGAUAUUGUUUCGGUGGGGGAUGGGCUCGCGGCCUAUCAGCUUGUUGGUGGGGUGAUGGCCUACCAAGGCGGUGACGGGUAGCCGGCCUGAGAGGGGGGAGGGUCACCCGGGGACUGGGACACGGCCCCGCCCCCUACGGGGGGCAGCGGUGGGGAAAUUUGCAAAAGGGGGCAAAGCCUGACGCGGCGCCGCCGGUGGAGGGAGGGAGGCCUUCGGGUUGGGAACCUCUUUGCCCAGUGAAGCAGGCCUGCCUUGUUUGUGGGGGGGUUGGCGGUAGCUGGAUAAGAAGCCCCGGCAAACUACGU